Molecule: ribosomal RNA, 371 nt
Filed under: uncultured organism
Description: bacterial SSU rRNA
Rfam family: Bacterial small subunit ribosomal RNA
Source: RNAcentral
CGUAGGGUGCAAGGCGUUAAUCGGAAUUACUGGGCGUAAAGCGUGCGCAGGCGGUUUCGUAAGUCUGUCGGUGAAAUCCCCGGGCUUAACCUGGGAAUGGCGAUGGAGACUGCGAGGCUAGAGUUUGGCAGAGGGGGGUAGAAUUCCACGUGUAGCAGUGAAAUGCGUAGAGAUGUGGAGGAACACCGAUGGCGAAGGCAGCCCCCUGGGUCAAAACUGACGCUCAUGCACGAAAGCGUGGGGAGCAAACAGGAUUAGAUACCCUGGUAGUCCACGCCCUAAACGAUGUCUACUAGUUGUUGGGUCUUAAUUGACUUAGUAACGCAGCUAACGCGUGAAGUAGACCGCCUGGGAGUACGGUCGCAAGAUUA